RNAcentral lists this long non-coding RNA (1138 nucleotides) under Citrus sinensis (sweet orange). RNAcentral describes it as "long non-coding RNA (CSIN_LNC004742)". Lineage: Eukaryota; Viridiplantae; Streptophyta; Magnoliopsida; Sapindales; Rutaceae. The record is from RNAcentral.
UUAACGCUUUUGUAAUUAUCCAUAAUCUUUAAUAAUUUAGAUCAAAACUUUUGGAAAAUUAUUAAUUAUUAAUUCCAUUUUUUUUCUUACUUUUCUUCCUUAAAAUAAAUAAAUAGUAAGUGGUUGGCGAAGUGGAUUAUGUGGAAGGAAGAGAAGUGGCAUGCGAUGAGGUGAUGACGUGGCAGUUACUUUUCCUUAUUUUCUUCAGUGUUAUUAGGCCGGGUUAGGUGACUCAACUUUUUCUUAUUUAGUUCCCCUUGCUUUUAAACUCUCGUCUUCAGUUCAUUUCAUUUCAUUUUAUUUUCUCUCUCGCCGAAUCAAUCCAUCUCAUUGUCUCCUCUCUUCAGCGCUCACUCUUCAGGUAAUCCUUUUUUUUUUCCCCCAAUUUCUUGUAUUUUCUAUUUAAAUUUUUAAAAUUGAUCGUAAAUAGAGCUUGAAAAAUUUAUACGGCCAAACAUAAUGUGAUCGUUUUGGGUUUUGCUUAUUCGGGCAACCAUUAGGGCAAAACAGAAACUUCCAUUUUAAUUGAGUGCUUAUUGUCUAAGGUGAGAAACAAGCAGAAGAUCUUUUUUGAUUUUCUGUACCUAAAUUCUCUGAAUAAACAGUGGGGCCCACCAGUAGGGACGGUUUCUGUUUUCAUAGUCUCUCAUCGAGUCGCGUGCUUUGCCAGAAAUUUUGACCUUUGAAGAUCUGUGAUGUUGACGCGUGUCCUUGAUUAUUCGCGGUUUUGACGUACUAACAUUUGGAAAUUUUGCAGACCAGUCCAAUCCGGUCGAACCGAACCGGGUUCACCCUUGUGCAGCGGAGUGAACUGUGAGGGAGGAAAAGACGUACGUUGUCAGACGAUGAUAAUCAACCUACCGCGUCUGGUUGCCGGAUCUGCUCGCGAUCGACGUUUGGCUGCUGCUUGUGCUGUUGGAACUGCUGGAAUUGCUCGCGUUUAGCUGCUGCUUGUGCUCGCUUUUGGCUGCUGAUCCUGCCUGUUGAAUCUUGCGUUUGGCUGCUGCUUGUGCUCGCGUUUGGCUGCUGCUUGUGCUCGCGUUUGGCUGCUACUUGUGCUCGCUUUUGGCUGCUGCUUGUGCUCGCGUUUGGUUGCUGAUCCUGCCUGUUGAAUCUCGCAUUUGGCUGCUGCUUGUGC